RNAcentral lists this ribosomal RNA (253 nucleotides) under uncultured bacterium. RNAcentral's name for it is "partial 16S ribosomal RNA". It matches the Rfam family "Bacterial small subunit ribosomal RNA", at positions 524 to 776 of the family's 1533-position model. The record is from RNAcentral.
UACGAAGGGGGCUAGCGUUGUUCGGAAUUACUGGGCGUAAAGGGCGCGUAGGCGGUGCCUCAAGUCAGGCGUGAAAGCCCCGGGCUCAACCUGGGAACUGCCUUCGAUACUGCGGGUCUCGAGUCCGGGAGAGGUGAGUGGAAUUCCUAGUGUAGAGGUGAAAUUCGUAGAUAUUAGGAAGAACACCAGUGGCGAAGGCGGCUCACUGGCCCGGUACUGACGCUGAGGUGCGAAAGCGUGGGGAGCAAACAGG